GAUUCACUAAAAACUGUCCUGAAUUCCUAAGAAUUUAUUUACCGCAAAACUGACAAAGUGUUUAUUUAAAAAAUGAGGUUGAAGGUAGUCCUUUUCUUUCAUUUCAUUCAUUUUCAUUUUCUUUCUUAAGUAUGGCUAACACAAUAUCUAAUCAAUUAAAAGUUUAUAUUUUCACGUGAAAAGUUUCUUUAGAUAAUUAUUAUCAACAUGAUGACUAACUCUUACGGAUUAAUACGUGUCUGUAGGGCAAUCCGGUGGACUUGAUCGGCUUCCUACUUCGAAAGUUGAGUAAUCGGUGUCGCUUUCUUACGCAUCUUUGAACUGUAUAAAUGUUUUAAAAUUGUUUGAUCCAGAAUGUACCACACCGGACAAUCAAGAAGGCAGGUGCCUUGACUACAGAAAAUACGAUCAGUGUGCAGAUACCAGGGCAAUGUUACGAUCGUUUGCUGUCCGAACGAUCCAAACAAAGAGAAGAGAGAAAUUUUAAUAAAAACUGUGUAUAAGUAUAAGGCUUUGCGACCACCAUACUGUGGUUUUAGCAACGUCUCUCAUACCAGGGUGGUGGUCGAUGGUAAACCAGCUGAACUUGGUACGUUUUAUGUCUUUCUUUCCGAUUAAUAAUAAGCCAUUUACUGCAAAGAAUGAACUUUAAAGGCAUUAAACAGCACAUCAAUGUACAUUUCAAUUAGACUAAAUAAUAAUGCUAUGAUUUUAUCGGUAGUAACUUUACUUAUUAACUUGAAUUAUUUCUUUCUUUUACUUCAUGUUAGGAAGAGUAUCUUUUUGCUCGAAAUAAAAAAUUGAUAUAGGAGUAAUAAUAUGGAUAGAGAUCAAAAACUGUUAGGGCAGAAAUUACACGUUUGAACUUUAUAGUUCAGUAUAGUUCAAAUAGAAAUUAUAUAGAAUUAUUUAAUAAUUUGUAUUCCACUGGAAUAAAAAUUUAAUUUCUGUCUUUAUCAAAUCUCUAUUUCAGAGUAUUUGUACGUAUGUACUUAUCGUCUGCUGUAUGAUCGAAUAUCGAAUAGGUAAUAAUCGUUGUUACUCGUUAUGUGAGAAAAAAUUAUGUAUAUUCACAACUAUGACUAUUGCAUUUUAGGCGUUUGGCCAUGGAUCGUUGCAUUAGGUUUUCGUAAUCCCCGAAACCCAGACAAACCACUAUGGAAGUGCGGAGGUUCCCUGAUAUCGGCUAGGCAUGUUUUGACCGCAGCACAUUGUGCACAUAUGGAUGGAAUAGAAAACAUACACAAUCAUAAUAUUGCCAUUCUUAGAUUGGUGGAGGAGGUGCCAUUUUCGAGGUACGUAUAUCCCAUUUGUACGAAAGAGCUCCUGCGAAAGAGCAACUUCGUCGGCUAUAACCCCCUUGUUGCUGGAUGGGGAGCAUUAAGAUAUAGACGACCACGACGUAAUGCAUUAAUGGAAGUACAAAUGCCAGUGAUUAAGAACGCCGAAUGCAAAAUAGCUUAUUCCAAAUUUCCUAAUGCACCUGAUGUCACUGAUGGUAUAAUAUGCGCCGAACGUGCUCAGGGUGGAAAGGAUUCUUGUACGGCUGACCGCGGCGGACCACUGCUGAUACAACAUGAAUUAACCUCGUAUUUAAUAGGUAUUGUGUCUUAUGCUUAUAAGUGCGGCACAGCUGGGUAUCCCAGCGUUUACACUAGGGUCACAUCGUACCUUGACUUCAUUCUCCAAGCGAUGCAAUAAUAUGAUAUUACUGUUCCAUAAAUAUCAUUGUGUAAAAAACGUAAAGUUGGAUUUUCUUAUUGUGGAGAUAAGAAACAGCUCAAAUUUACAUUGUUUUGUACGUUACAAAUUAUAGGCUUAAAAUGUACGAAAUGUAACUUUGAAACGACACUAAUUUUUUACGCACGAUAAACCUCCACGACUUAGAUUAUAGAUUCCUAUACGACUCUCAGUAAAAAUUUAUCCGCACUCCAGAUAGUUAAAACUUCUGUCGACCGUAUUGAUCCAUCUGCACUCUUCGUAUGACGUCAAUAUCUGUUCAGUGCUGCUGCGCAGGUUUCUUUGUGUUACGUCAAUUCGUUUGUGACCGUUGCGCGAGUAAUGGCGCUUUGCAAUGGUGAUUUGCAGGAAAACAGUGCAGAAUGCUGUGAUUCGUUUCUUGUGGUCGGAGGUUAUGUUUGAUGCCUAUAUUUAUCAAAGAUUUAAUGCACAUUAUGGAGAAAGUGUUUUGUCACGAAGUGUGUUUGAAUGGGCACAAAGGUUCAAAGAAGAUCGCACAAGUGUUAUGAAAAAACAGGUGGACGCCCGUCCACAUCCACGUUGACAACAUUGAACGUGUUCAUGAACUUAUGCUCUAUGGAAUAGACGAGUGACACUGGAUAAUGUGGCAAAUCAUUUGCAAAUCAGCCACGGCUCUGCUUAUGCAAUAGUGCACGACAGAUUUGGGUUUCAAAAAGUUUGUGCGAGAUGGAUGCCGAAAAAGCUGAUGAAAAGGUGAAGACGACGAUGCAUUCGUGGUUCGCAGCUCAGCCCAAAACAUUUUUUAAUGAGAAAAUACGAAGGUCCUUCGGCAAAUGGACAAAGUGUAUACAGAAAUUGAGUGAUUAUGUCAAAAAAUGAUGUAUGUCUUUUUUGACAAUUGCUUAAAAUAAAUUCUACACCGACA
Bombus huntii is the source of this 2626-nucleotide RNA transcript. It is a transcript of the gene named venom serine protease Bi-VSP-like, with no coding region annotated. NCBI's taxonomy places the organism in Eukaryota, Metazoa, Arthropoda, Insecta, Hymenoptera, Apidae. The record is from RefSeq and is a predicted model, not a curated record. The transcript is spliced from 6 exons.